AAAAGAUCUUACAUUUGAGUUGUGUACAGUGAUGAAUAGGUUAAAAAAAAGGUAUACAGAAGCAAACUUCAUUUUGAUAACUUAUUUUAAAAUUAUUUUCUUUUUUUUUUCAUUUUGAGGAACAAACGAUUUUCUUUAAACUAAAGUUGCAGAAAUUGCAUCACAAUAUCUGCUAAAUAUAUUCAUAAUAAUCUAAUCAUAAAAACCACAUAUUCUGGAUGAUGCUAAUACCAUAGAAAACCCACCAUCUUGUUACAUGGAGAAAUUAAACUAUAAAAAGGGAAUGGAAAACCCCGUAGAAAACCCCAAAAGUUCAUUGCGUCGAUCUUUAUCAAAUUCUUGCAUAUUAUUCAACCAUGCAUCGGGGGAGAUUUGGCAACCUGGACGGCUUGAACUCCGCGGCGUUGAAUGGCCAAAGCUUUGAGCUGCUCGAGAUCGCCAGCGGCUACAUGAUCUAGUUUGUUGGUUUGGAGGGGAAGAACAACUGGUUUGUUGGCGGCCUGUGGAGCGGUGCGAGGGUAAAAGAAAUCAGUGGGAAAGAAGUUGUAUUGAAGACCCGCCAUGGAAAAGUAGGGAGCAGAAAGGAGUGUAUUUAAUAACUACUGAGAGAUGUUGGUUUGGUGGACUUUGGCAGAGAGACUAUCACAUGCUCUGGUACCUAAUACUUUGGUUUGGUUUAUAUACUGCCAGGGGCUUUGCUGUUCAUAUG
This 709-nucleotide long non-coding RNA is filed under the name Prunus dulcis (almond). RNAcentral describes it as "sRNA ncRNA". Lineage: Eukaryota; Viridiplantae; Streptophyta; Magnoliopsida; Rosales; Rosaceae. The record is from RNAcentral.